AGAGUUUGAUCCUGGCUCAGGAUGAACGCUGGCGGCGUGCUUAACACAUGCAAGUCGAACGAUCCUUCGGGAUAGUGGCGGACGGGUGAGUAACGCGUGGGAGUCUGCCCUCAGGAGGGGGAUAACGGCUGGAAACGGCCGCUAAUACCCCAUAUGCCGAGAGGUGAAAUGAAUUUCGCCUGAGGAUGAGCCCGCGUCUGAUUAGCUAGUUGGUGGGGUAAAGGCCUGCCAAGGCAACGAUCAGUAGCUGGUCUGAGAGGAUGAUCAGCCACACUGGGACUGAGACACGGCCCAGACUCCUACGGGAGGCAGCAGUGGGGAAUUUUCCGCAAUGGGCGAAAGCCUGACGGAGCAACGCCGCGUGAGGGAUGAAGGCCUCUGGGCUGUAAACCUCUUUUCUCAAGGAAGAAGACCUGACGGUACUUGAGGAAUAAGCCACGGCUAAUUCCGUGCCAGCAGCCGCGGUAAUACGGGAGUGGCAAGCGUUAUCCGGAAUUAUUGGGCGUAAAGCGUCCGCAGGCGGCCUUGUAAGUCUGUUGUUAAAGCGUGGAGCUCAACUCCAUUUAAGCAAUGGAAACUACAAGGCUGGAGUGUGGUAGGGGCAGAGGGAAUUCCCGGUGUAGCGGUGAAAUGCGUAGAUAUCGGGAAGAACACCAGUGGCGAAGGCGCUCUGCUGGGCCAUAACUGACGCUCAUGGACGAAAGCCAGGGGAGCGAAAGGGAUUAGAUACCCCUGUAGUCCUGGCCGUAAACGAUGAACACUAGGUGUCGGGGGAAUCGACCCCCUCGGUGUCGUAGCCAACGCGUUAAGUGUUCCGCCUGGGGAGUACGCACGCAAGUGUGAAACUCAAAGGAAUUGACGGGGGCCCGCACAAGCGGUGGAGUAUGUGGUUUAAUUCGAUGCAACGCGAAGAACCUUACCAGGGUUUGACAUCCUGCGAACCCCUGAGAAAUCGGGGGGUGCCUUCGGGAGCGCAGAGACAGGUGGUGCAUGGCUGUCGUCAGCUCGUGUCGUGAGAUGUUGGGUUAAGUCCCGCAACGAGCGCAACCCACGUCUUUAGUUGCCAGCAUUCAGUUGGGCACUCUAGAGAGACCGCCGGUGAUAAACCGGAGGAAGGUGUGGAUGACGUCAAGUCAUCAUGCCCCUUACAUCCUGGGCUACACACGUACUACAAUGCUACGGACAAAGGGCAGCAAGCUCGCGAGAGUUAGC
RNAcentral lists this ribosomal RNA (1212 nucleotides) under metagenome. RNAcentral's name for it is "bacterial SSU rRNA". It matches the Rfam family "Bacterial small subunit ribosomal RNA", at positions 8 to 1268 of the family's 1533-position model. The record is from RNAcentral.